RNAcentral lists this long non-coding RNA (23029 nucleotides) under Brassica napus (rape). Its description in RNAcentral is "long non-coding RNA (BNAP_LNC000922)". The record is from RNAcentral. Lineage: Eukaryota; Viridiplantae; Streptophyta; Magnoliopsida; Brassicales; Brassicaceae.
AAAGAGCUCCAUGUGCUCAACUUGUCCAACAAUGCUUUCACCGGCCUCAUUCCUUCAUCUAUGGGAAACCUGACGGCUCUUGAGUCACUGGACCUUUCCCAAAACCAGCUUUCAGGAGAAAUUCCUCAAGAGCUAGAGGAACUCUCCUUCCUUUCCUACAUGAACUUCUCUCACAACCAGCUUGUCGGUCUAGUACCAGGCGGCACUCAGUUUCGAAGGCAGAACUGCACUUCCUUUGACGGUAAUCCGGGACUUUCUGGCCCUUCUCUUGACGAAAUUUGCAGAAAUAUUCACAUGUCAACACCGCAUGAAACGUUGGAGUCAGAGGAAGAAGAAGAGGUGCUGAGUUGGAUAGCAGUUGUAAUAGGCGUCAUACCUGGUUUUGCCUUUGGAUGGGUGAUUGGUUACAUACUUUUUUCCUACAAACCAGAGUGGUUCAUGAACCCUUUUGUCCGAAGCAAACCCAGACGAAGCAGCAACACAACUCAUUAAAGAGGUAAUAUUCUAGAGUUUUAAGUCAACUUGUUAGCAAACAUUUGAAGAAACAAAAAUAUUAUAGUCAAAUCUCCUGAAUAAACGUCCUUGUUUUGUUUGUAUAGGUCUUUUAUAACCUACCUGAAGAAUCUGAAAGAAGAAAAUUCAAAGCAACCACUAUGUUUAUCUGUAUCAAUUAAGAUUUGGGGUAUCAUCUCCAGUUUAGCUUGGUGUUUUUCUCAUUACUCUGUUUUUACUUUUUUACAAGCAAACUUCUUUGUUUCUCUGUUAUUGUUUUCGGUUUAAGUUGGUGUGUAUUUUCUCUACUUCUCUGUUUCUCUGUAAUUGAACAACUAUGUUUAUUAAGCUGAAAAUUACAAGCACAGUCAAAGAUGUGUAUUUUCAGCUCUUAUGUAUCUAAACAUUGUUGCAUCUGUGUGUCUUAAAUCUCUGUGUACCAGUAAAAGCCCAGCACUCGUGGGUAGGAUGAAGGAUAAAUGAAAUCGGAUUUUAAGGCUGAUAUAAAUAUGGGUCUAAGAGUUUGUAAGAUUAUUCAUUCACACAAUAAUAAGAAACACUAAACGGAUAUUUGCCUCAAUACAUUUUAUUCUCUAUUGUCUUCUUGCUUAAUUCGUGACUGUUCACACAAACAUCAACUGUAUAGACGUGAGAUGAGCAAUAAACAGAUGAUCCAGAUCAACGCUGCGAUGAGAUGCUUGCCACUAAGGUGUCUGCUCAAAUGUAUGCAGAGGGUUUGGCAGAGAUUGCUACUUUUCUAGGUUUUUAUGGAUGGCUGGUGAGUUUUGUGAUUAUGGUUGAUGUUUGUUUUCAUUGUCUCAUUUCAUUAAUCUAUAUAUGAUAGGUUAAUAUUGCAGUGUAUAUGAUAGAGAAACAAUGUAUCAGCUGCUAUUUUCGCUCCCGGAUGGGUAUAUGAGACUGCUCAACCACCUAAUUUUCAUACAGCUCAGAAUAAGUAAUACUCUUUUUUGCCUGUUUCAUUGUAAAAAAAUUGUCAUCUCUUUGUUAUUAACGUUCAUGCGUUUUUUCUUCGGAUGGUGGUCACUUGUAGAGAAGUCAUGGGGAAUAGUCCAAACAUAUCCACAAGUCUUGCCUUUCUACUCAGAUUUCAAUCAAGUUAACUGAGAUUGAUUUUGUCUUUCUUCCUAUCUUGUUACAAUAACACAAGUGUACCUAUGAUUUCUGUUCAGUUAUGCUCUGAAGAUCUCUUUUCUUGAGGGUCGCCAGAUAUCUUAUGCUCCAUGGUACAACAUAUCUUGCCAAAGUCUCCAGGUUCAACCCUCUUAUAGUCAUUCAUUGUACAUAUAAUAUUAUCUUCUCAUCUGAUUGUUGUCUUUGUUGUGUUAUUCACGUCAGCCACUCCUAGAGUUCAAGGAAGACAACACUGAUAUCAUUCAGGUCACUGUUGAGUGAGUUCUGGCCCUGAAACUAAAAAAUGUUUUUAACUUCUUGUUGAUUAAGAUACAUUUAUUCGCAAAUGUAUAACGGCAAGCACAUGACUUUGUUUAGUGCUGGAGAGGCAUCUUAUAACGGAGGAGGGAAUAUUGUAUUUAACGGAAGACUCGACGGAGAUGUGAAUUUCACAGCGAGGCUCUUUAAACCUCUUCUUCACCUUUCUUCUUCCCCCAUCACAGUCUCCUACUCCGUAAGUCCCUCUACUUUUAGAUACAUCACAUUAUUUGAUCUUCUUGUUUCUCUACUAACGGAGGAUCUCGGAUUUGGUGCAGGUGAAAUCAGAUGAGACUUCUAAACUUGGACUCCUGCUUAGUCCACAAGAACUAAUCCCUAGAUUCAGGUAGAUCACAUGUUCUUCAAGAUUAAUUUCACAUCCUUUCGGUCAAGAUCCAUUUGCACUUUUUCGUUUAUGAUCAUUGGUCACGACCGUUUUGUAUAUUUUCGGUCAAAAUACAUUCACAUCAUUUCAGUCACAAAACGUUUAUACUCCUUGGAUCGUGAUGUGUUUGUACCUCUUGGAUCACAACACGUUCAUACCUCUUAGAUUAUAAUGCGUUCAUAUCUCUUAAAUCACAACACAUUUGUACCUCUUCGUUUAUGACACCACGUAAAUAUUUAUCAUUUUUUAAUCAUUGUUAAUAUGAAAAUUGUGUCUCUUAAAAGCUUUUUAUGAAAAGUUAUUUUUAUUAGUAUUGAAAUGAAAUUUAUGUCUUUUUGUUUUACUUUAUUCAUAUAUAUGAAUAGUCACAUCUUUCAAUUUAAAGGUGGUUAUUUUGAAAUGAUACUUAUAUGAACAGUAACAACUUUUUAAUUUAAAUAGUCACAUCUUUUCAAAUUUAAAUUUAAUUAUUUUGAAAUUAUAGAAAUAUGAAUAGUCACAACUUUUCAUUAAAAUAAUUACAUAUUUUACAAUUAAAUUAUAACUAAUGCACAACUCUUGAAAUAAAUAAAGAAAAGACACAACUUUAACAAGAAAUAAAAUUCCUAUAAAAAUACACAACUUUUCAACAUUGUUUGGAUUUUUCAUGUAAAACAUUUAAGAGAUGCAACUUUAUGCAUAAAACUUAAGAGAUUCAAAUUUUCAUAUUAAUCAAUACACUGAUUUUUAGAAAUAAAACAAUUGCAAAUAUUUAUAAAAUAUUAAUAAAUAGAUAUGAGCAAAAUAAAAAUGAAAAGACAUAAUUUUUCAUCUCAAUACUAAUAAAUACAACUUUUCAUAUAAAAAAUUAAAAGAUGCAACUUUCAUAUAGAUGAAUAGUCAAAUUUUUUCCAGUUUAAAGGUGAUUAUUCUGAAAUGAUACUUAUAUGAAUAGUCAUAAUUUUUCAAUUUAAAUAGUCACAUCUUUUCAAUUUAAAGAUAGUUAUUUUGAAAUAAUACAUAUAUGAAUAGUCACAAUUUUUCAUUUAAAUAAUUACAUCUUUUUAAUUUAAAUACUAAGUAAUACACAACUCUUGAAACCAAAGGACAUAUCUUAAUAUAUAAUGAAAAGACACAAUUUUUAACAAGAAAUAAAAUUCCUAUAAAACACAUCACUUUUCAAUAUGGUUUAGGAUUGCUAUUAUUAGUAGAUUGUUUUUUUUUCUUCACCAUUUUAUUUGAUUAGUGAAAAUUAUGCUUUGAGAAGGCAUGGACAUUGGACUAUUUGUAGAUUUUCAAAAAUUUGUUUGAAGAGUCACAUCUUUUGAAUUAAAAGGUUGUGUCUUUUUGUAAUAAUAAUUAUAUGAAGAGUCACAACUUUUCAAUAUAAAUGGUCACAUUCUUUCAAUAUAAAUAGUUAUUUUAAAAUAAAAAACACAAUUUUUAAUUGUUGAAAAGACACAAUCUUUCAACAUAAGUGGAAUUCACAACUUUUUGAAUUAAUUGAGAUUGCUAUUAUUAGUAGAUAUGGCUCGAUCAUGAGUACAUUUAAUUCACGAAGAAGAGUUGAUUCUUGUGUCAUGACGAAUAUUCUCACAAUUAUAUGACUUCAAGCAAGUUGAUAGUUUUGUUCAUUUUGAUUGAUUCUUAGUAAGAGUUUAUUCUUUUUGUCAUUUUGUACAUAUUUCUCAUUUUGGAAAUCAUGAGGAAUAAACCGAAAUAAAAAUAAGACCGUUCGCCGUUGAGUUUUCUUGAAAAGGUUGAUGUUUGUUUUCUUCUUAUUAAAUAUAAGAGAUUCAUUCUUAUUUUGAAAUUCUAUCAAAAUUAAACUAGUUUAGCAGUUAAAUUAGUUAUUUUUUCAAAGCAAGGAAUGUCAGAACUUUUAAAUAAUAAGUAAAAAAGAUAAAACAUUUACUAUCAAAUCGAAAGACUACAAUAUAUGCAAAUAUGCAUGGGUCUCGUAAUCGUAAACGUUAGUACUUUCGCGUCAAUAUGCGUGGGUCGUUACUAUAUGCAAUAUGCAUGGGUCGUUAGUAUACGUUAGUUUUUUUUUUGUAACAUAAAAACAUUAGUAUACGUUAGUUUAAAUCCAAAUAUAAACCUAAGCAAAAUAAGACUUCAUGAGUUACGUCUUCUUUGGUUUUGACAAUUUUUUUUUUUUUUUUGAAAAUUCAUGUAAUUAGUGUAGGGGACCAAUAUGUGUAGAAAAUUGACUAUCCGACACAAAGAUUUUGCUUUCGACGUGACGAAUAAUGUAUUUUUCUCUGUGGAUUUUCUCUUGUGUGGAGUAAAUACAGAGUCUAUUAUUGUGUAUAUAAAGAAAUGGCCAUGGAAGCAUGUUACUCAUCACCAAUUUCCCUUUUCUUUUUGCUCUUUCAGUUUUUGAUAUUCAAGAAAGUUAAAUAAGCUUAAAGAAGAAUGAAAGGGUUUUGGAACUUAACGAGUACCAUCUCUCUUAUUCUUUCUAUACUUUUUUUAUUCGGCUACAGUUAUGAGGACGUGUCUGCGGUUCCAACUAAGCACUUGUGUCGUCCAGAUCAAAGGGAUGCACUUCUUCAGUUCAAGAACGAGUUUGAGGUUCUAAACUCUUCCUUUACUUAUUAUAAUUGUAUUGAUCGUGGUAUUACGCCUCAUCGGAAGACAGAGUCAUGGGUGAAUAACAGCGACUGCUGUAAUUGGGAGGGUAUCACGUGCAACGUCAAGUCCGGUGAAGUGAUUGAGCUAGAUCUCAGUUGCAGCUACCUAGGUGGCAGGUUUCAUUCCAAUAGCAGUCUUCGAAAACUUCAUUCUCUAACCACUCUAGACCUUUCAGUUAAUGAAUUUAGUGGUCAAAUCAUGUCUUCAGUUGGAAACCUUUCUCAUAUCACCUCUCUCGACCUUUCACUUAAUCAGUUCAGCGAGUUCAUUCUUUCUUCGAUAGUAGACCUUUCUUAUCUCACUUUUCUCGAUCUUUCAUUUAAUAGUUUAUCGGGUGAGAUUCCAUCUUCGAUUGGAAAUCUUUCUCAUCUCACCUAUCUUAACCUUAAUUUGAAUCAAAUUUCGGGUAAGAUUCCAUUUUCUUUUGGAAAUCUUUAUAACCUCACUUAUCUUGACCUUUCUGGGAACAAUAUUGUUGGAGAAAUCCCAUCUUCUUUUGGAAACCUAAACCAGUUGACCACCUUAGAUGUUAGUCUCAAUAAGCUCAAUGGAAGCUUUUCCAUUGCACUACUGAAUUUGACAAAGUUGUCAUCUUUAAAACUCUAUGACAAUCAGUUCACAGGAACAAUUCCUCAUAACAUCACUUCACUAUCCAAAUUGACGACCUUUUAUGCAAGUAACAACGCUUUCACUGGAACCCUGCCUUCUUCUCUCUUCACCAUUCCUUCUAUUGAAGAUGUUAGAUUGUCUGAUAACCGAUUGACGAACUUGACCUUUCCCAUUACAAGACACAAGGUCCAGUUGACUUUAGCAUCUUCUCAUAUCUCAAGUGGCUAUAUAUUCUUGACCUAUCCUAUUUGAACACAACCACUGCCAUUGACUUGAAUGAUUUCUUGUCAUAUUUUAAGAGUCUCGGUGUGUUGGAUCUCUCAGGCAACCAUGUUUCAGCCACAAACAAGAGUACAAUUUCAGAUCCUUCUUCUUUGUAUCAGUUGCACUUGUCAGGCUGCGGUAUCACCGAGCUCCCGGAGUUUGUAAGAUUGCAAAAUAUGGAGAAGGUAGACAUUUCUAACAAUAAAAUCAAAGGAAAAGUGCCUGGCUGGUUAUGGAAGCUACCAAAUCUGUCUUACCUCGAUAUUUCCACCAACAAUUUCACCGGCUUCGAAAAUGCAACUAAACAUGGGCUAUCUUUAAUGACCUUGUUAGCCUCCAACAACAAUUUCAGUGGAAAGAUUCCCUCUUUCAUAUGUGAUUUGGGCUCUGUAGAAACUCUUGAUUUAUCAAACAACAACUUCAAUGGUUCAAUCCCUCGUUGUCUGGGUAAUCUCAACUAUACUCUUACAGAUCUAAACCUUGGUAAAAAUCGUCUCCAUGGAGGUCUUCCAGGGAAUAUAUUUGAAAGCUUAAGAGCGCUUGACGUCGGUCAUAACCAACUUACGGGAAAACUUCCAAUGUCUUUGAUCAAUUUCUCUAGUCUUGAAGUUCUGAACGUGGAAAGCAACAUUAUCAAUGAUACGUUUCCAAUCUGGUUGAGUUCUCUACCAGAGCUCAAUAUUCUUGUAUUACGCUCCAAUGCCUUCCACGGACCGAUACAUCAAACUUCCUUCCCUAAGUUGAAAAUCAUCGACAUAUCACACAAUCACUUCAAUGGAGCUUUGCCAUCAGACUUCUUUGUGAAGUGGAGUGCUAUGUCAUCACUUGGGACAGUUUAUGAUCAGCCGGAUGAAAUGUACAUGGGAUAUUACUAUUACCAUGAUUCAAUGGUGUUGAUGAAUAAAGGUUUAGGGAUGGAAUUUCAACGUAUCCUAAAAACUUUGAGAGCACUCGACUUUUCAGGAAACAAAUUUGAAGGAGAGAUCCCAAGGUCUAUCGGUCUAUUAAAAGAGCUUCUUAUGCUUAACUUGUCGAAUAAUGCUUUCACUGGCCACAUCCCUUCAUCUAUGGGAAACCUGACAGCUCUUGAGUCACUGGACGUUUCCCAAAACCAGCUUUCAGGAGAAAUUCCGCAAGAGCUAGGGAGUCUCUCAUUCCUUUCGUACAUGAACUUCUCGCAUAACCAGCUUACAGGUCUAGUACCAGGAGGCACUCAGUUUCAAAGGCUGAACUGCACUUCCUUUGAGGAUAAUCCGGGACUUUCUGGCCCUUCUCUUGACGAAAUUUGCAGAGAUAUUCACACGCCAACACCGCAUGAAACGUUGGAGUCAGAGGAAGAAGAAGAAGAGGAAGAGGUGUUGAGUUGGAUAGCAGCUGUAAUAGGAGUCAUACCUGGUAUUGCCUUUGGAUGGGCGAUUGGAUACAUACUUUUUUCGUACAAACCAGAGUGGUUCAUCAACCCUUUUGCCCGAAACAAGUGCAGAAUCAGCAGCACCACAACUCAUUAAAAAGGUAAUUUUCAAGAGUUUUAAAUCAACUUGUUAGAAAACACUGGAAGAAACAAAAAUAUUAAUAGUGAAAUCACCUGAGUUAACCUUUUCUUUUUUUGGUACAGGUCUUUUAUAAGCUACCUGAGGAAUCUGGAAGAAGAAAUCCAAAGGACCACUAUGUCUAUCCGUAUCAAAUAAGAUUUGGGAUAUCGUUUCUGGUUUAGCUUGGUGUGUUUUUUCUCUAUCUCUAUUUUUUUACGUUUUAGCAAACUUCUUUGUUUCUCUGUAAUUGAACAACAACUAUGCUUCUUACGCUGAAAAUUACAAGCACAGUCAAAGAUGUAUCGUUUUUCCCCCUCUUGUGAAUCUUAACAUCAACUGUUUAGACGUUAGAUGAGCAAUGAACAGAUGAUCCAGAUAAAAGCUAUAAUCAACACAGGGCUUUAGAAAAGGAUGUACAUAUUAUAUAUGGAUAUUUCGAUUGUUCAUAUCAAUGAGACACAUUAAUUCAUAGAAACUAUAGACUUUGCAAAUAUAAUUAUCAAGAUUCCAUUUUGUGUAUAUACGAAGUUCAAAAGGUUUUAAGCUUAUGAUUUUCGAAUGUGACAAUACAAAAUAAUAAAAAAAGUUUGCGUUGAUUUAUCUUGUGAUUGGUAAUAUUCUCAUUGAUAAUGAAUGAUGAGUAGAAGAGGAAGAGAAAUGGCUAGUAAAGGCCUAAAGGGGUCUUGUUUUCUCCAUGUCCACACUCUCUUGUUUCUAAUUCAACCUUUGAUUGUUUGAUUAAAUAUUUAUAAUCUAAAUUAACAAUAACCAAAUAUAUAUAUACUCAUUUAAAAUUGGGAAAAUUGCUAAAAGAGAACAAAAAAACAAGGUUGUUGUCCCUUUAGUAUAAAACCAACAUAAAGUUGUCUCAAUAGUAUAAUUUUUCUCAUAAUCCCAAAACUAACCCUAUAUUUAAUCUAAUUAAACACAAUUUAAAAGUUAAUUUGAAUUUUAAAAAAAAAGUUAAUGGAAAAAAGGUAAAAAACAGUAGAAAGGCAAUCGAAAAAAAAAAGAGGUAUAGAUAUGCAUCAUAGAGAACAAGAGUUUGUGAGAAGAAUCAAAAGAAAAACUAUGGAAAAACCAUAGAUUGAUGAAGAAGAGAAGGAAUAAUCGUUUUUUUUUAAAUUUUUUAAGUAAAAUCGACCAUAACACGUUUUAGAAAGUUAAAAUAUUUCUAAGAGAUUUUUAGAAUAUUUUCUUAACUGAAAUUUCAUUAAUUUUCGCAAAAAAUCAAGUAUUCUUAUCCGUAGAAGGCGACUUCUAAAAGUUUAGAAGAAUGAUAAAAAUUCUGAAUACACUUUCUACUUUGAGUAGACGUAAGAUUACAUUGUAGAAAACACAUUCCUCGAAAUUUAGAAUACUUUAUAAAAGUAGAAGAUGCAUUCGGAAGGAAAGUGGAUACCUUUACGAUUAGUAGAAUGUGCAUUCCUCUUUUUUAGAAAUUUAGUAAAUAGUAAAAUGAACGUUCUAAAAGAAGUAGAUGAACGUGUUUAUUUUAGAAAUCGUUUUCUACUAUACCAUUUUUCAUAGAAGACGCAUUCUACUUUUAGUAGAACGUAUUUUAAAAAUCUUAUUUACCAAAUUUUUGAGCAAAAGAAAAUUACCAGCUUGUGUAUAUGGAUGUUUUAUUAAUUUUUUAUAUUUUUAAUAAUUUUUUUGAUUCAUAAAAUUAUUUAUUUCAUUAGUUUUCAGAAAUACAAAGGGUAAAAAGGAGAAAAACUAGACAAAAUUAGUUUUAUACUAAAAGGACAACAACCUAAUUUUUUUGUUCUCUUUUGGCAAUUUUCCCUUUAAAAUUUGGGUUUAACGAUCAUUAUCCAUUUGAUAAGAAAAUUCCUCUUGGAUCUUUCUUUUUAUAUUUUUCCUGACUGACUUUUUAAUCGAAUCCAAGUCUUGCUUCUCUUUGUUUUGGUGUCCACGAUCUCAAAAAAGAAACAGCCAACUGAUUGGUCACUUUCACAAUCCCUCUGGUACGUUAUCCUUUGAUUUUUCAACAUUAUACUUAAAGCUCAAUACCAAAAUCUCAAAGAUAAGCCACUACAUGAUCAUGAUGUGUGUGACCUACGAGCUUGGACUCGAACCCACGAGCCAAUCAUGUAACUAGCAAUGAAAAGAUCAAGCCAACACAAAUGAUGAAUAGGCCCAUGCCUUGCCCCCAUUCUGUUCCCUUCUUAAUUAAUCUACAAAAACAAAAUCUUCUUCAGAAGAAGAUGCGUGAGCUUCAACACGAUAAAGAUUGAUGCAAAGUCAUAUAAGCAAACAGCCAAAUCAAUAGCUUGGUGGGUUUGGUCUUCCAAAAGUAAAUUAUGGAAGAACAUGAAUGUCUCUGAUGUACAUUGUCCUGGAAAGAGAACUCUGAGACCUGAUUACGCAAAAGACUAAUUGCUGAUAACAAAAAAAGGAGAAAAGAACGCUAUUUGAAACUGCAGGCAUUGAUACAGAAACUAUCAUACAUUAAACACUUGACAAAAGUACAUGUUGAUAUGUCUGUCAGAUUACUACAAGAGUUUCUUUCACCAAUCUGCUUUGCUACCAAUGUACCCUAAAUAAGAUAAGUAAACACAAAAAAAAAAGCAUUACUCUAACUUGAAACCUAGUGAGUAAGAAUAAUAACAGUUUCUCCAAUCUCCAUGAGCUGAGCUCUCAGAUCCAACCAUUGCUCUACCAGAGUAUAGCUUCUCCACAAAACUAAUCUCUACAACUUCUUCCCUGUACAACAACAGCACAAUUCAAGUUUUCAGUAACUCAAUUGAGUAGAUGCUCAAAGUUAUGGUUCCAAAUCAACAAUCUCAAGCCUCACAAGCUUAAAGAUUCAUCUUUACAAGCACAUAAAAAUGAAAACUUUCCUUUCUGCCUUCAACUUAGCCACAUCGUUUAUCAACCUGCCUUUAACUAGACAAGUCGAAAAUAUAACCCUCUGAGCAAUCUAGAAGGUUACGUAUGACGUCCUAUGUUCUGAGCCAAUUCGAAUCUUCGAGCCCUACAUCUUCAAUUCCGUCAAGUUUACGCUAGAUUGCUCUCCAGAGCCUCCUGGUACCACCAUUGUAGUAAUCGAAGUUGCGAGAGCAAAAGCCUUCUCAUGCCUACACUAAAGGUGAUGUAUUGCUCUAUUCAGGGUUGGCUCCUUUAUUCAGAGAAUAUAAAUAUUUUUAAAAUAAAUCUUGAUAAAAUAAUACAAAGCUCUUUUAAAUUUGGAAUAGGGCUAAUAGUAACAAUUCGCUUGCUAUGUUUCAGUUGAGUUUGUUGUUUUCUUGAAGCUGUUUCUGUCCUUUGUAUACUUGUGUGCGAUCUUGUUUGAUAAGUUUAUAGAGUUGGACAUGAAUGUAAUGAUGCUCUUGUAGGCUAAAUCAUCAAGCGUUGAAGCAUCUUUGAAGUAUAAGAAUAUUUUUUGGAUAUGGGACGGUUCUAUAUAGUUUAUGGCUGUGAGGAUUGUAUUUGCCGAAGUUCAAAAGACUUCCCACUCCUUUUAGUUCCCGUCUUUACUUUUCGACUCAAGACUGGCUUACGUUUUCUUCUUGCAAAGAAGGUUCUCUCAGACUUUUCUCUUGGUCUUCUCUCAAGCAAGUACACGAGCUGGUCUACACGGUAAGCUGGUAGUCUGAUAGACCUGUAUCAAUCAAUGAGGAGGCAACUGGGACAUAGUCUGCUUUCUGCAUUCAAGCAUACUAUUAAAUAUGACGAGAGAAAUAUCCACACAUGAACUUAAUAUCGAUUAGGAAAAUCAUUUUAGUGGUCAAGAACGAGUUUGAGGUUCUAGACUCUUCCUUUGCUUAUGAUUGUUAUUUUGAUAUAGUAAAGCUUCAUCCGAAAACGGAGUCAUGGGCGAAUAACAGCGACUGUUGUACUUGGGAGGGUAUCAAGUGCAACGUCAAGUCCGGUGAAGUGAUCGAGCUAGACCUUAGUUGCAGCUACCUAGGUGGCCGGUUUCAUUCCAAUAGCAGUCUUCAAAACCUUCAUUCUCUCACCACCCUAGACCUUUCAGGAAAUCGUUUUAGUGGUCAAAUCAUGUCUUCAAUUAAAAACCUUUCUCAUAUCACCUCUCUGGACCUUUCACUUAAUCAGUUCAGCGAGAACAUUCCUUCUUCGAUAGUAGACCUUUCGUAUCUCACCUAUCUCGAUCUUACAUAUAAUCGUUUUCCUGGUCAGAUUCCAUCUUCUAUUGGAAAUCUUUAUAACCUCACUUAUCUUGACCUUUUUGGGAACGAUAUUGUUGGCGAAAUCCCAUCUUCUUUUGGCAAUCUAAACCAGUUGACCAGCUUAAAUGUUUACUACAAUAAUCUCAAUGGAAGCUUUCCCAUUGCACUACUGAAUAUGAAAGAGUUGUCAUCUUUAAUGCUCAACGGCAAUGAGUUCACAGGCACAAUUCCUCCUAACAUCACUUCACUAUCCAAAUUGACGAAUUUUAUAGCAAGUUACAACGCUUUCACUGGGACCCUGCCUUCUUCUCUCUUCACCAUUCCUUCUAUGGAUCGUGUUGAUAUGUCUGAUAGCCAACUCAACGGUAUUCUUGAGUUUGGGAAUAUAUCUUCACUACCUAAGCUACGAGAGUUAGACAUUGGCCAAAACAACUUGAGAGGGCCAAUCCCGGAAACGAUAUCCAAAUUUACAAACCUUGUCCGACUUGGCCUUUCCAAUUACAAGACACAAGGUCCAGUUGACUUUAGUAUUUUCUCGCAUCUCAAGUGGCUUGAAUAUCUUGACUUAUCCUAUUUGAACAUGACCACUACGAUUGACUUGAAUGAUUUCUUGUCAUAUUAUAAGAGGCUCGAGAGGUUGGUUCUCUCAGGCAACCAUGUUACAGCCACAAACAAGAGUCCAGUUUUAAAUUCCCCUUUGUUGUAUAAGUUGCACUUGUCAGGCUGCGGUAUCACCGAGUUUCCUGAGUUUGUAAGAUCGCAAAAUAAAAUCAAAGGACAAGUGCCUGGCUGGUUAUGGACGCUACCAAAUCUUACUUACCUGAAUCUUUCCAACAACACUUUCACUGGCUUCGAAAACUCAACUACAGUUUCACCUUCAAGGCUAUAUAACAUAAACGUGCUUGCCUCAGACAACAAUUUCACGGGAAAGAUUCCCUCUUUCAUAUGUGAUUUGCCCUAUGUUAACACUCUUGAUUUAUCGAACAACAACUUCAGUGGUUUAAUCCCUCGUUGUCUGGGAAAUCUCAAGUAUUCUCUUGUACUUCUAAACCUUCGUCAGAAUCGUCUUCAUGGAGGUCUUCCAGAAAAUAUAUUUGAAAGCUUAAGAACGCUUGACAUCGGUCAUAACCAACUGACGGGAAAGCUUCCAAGAACUUUGAUUCAUUUUACUUCCAGAGCUAAAAGUUUUUGUAAUACGUACGCUCCAAUGCUUUCCAUGGACCGAUACAUCAAACUUCGUUUCCUAAUAAGUUGCAAAUCAUGGACAUAUCGCACAAUCACUUCAAUGGAGCCUUCCCAUCAGACUACUUUGUGAAGUGGAGUGCUAUGUCAUCGCUUGUGACAAAUAAUGAUCGGCCGGAUGAAAGUUAUUUGCUCAAUUAAAAUUUGGGUUUAACGAACAUCUUCCAAUUUAUAACAAAAUUCCUCUUGGAUCAACCUAUAUUUUAAUUUCUUUGAUUGUCUUUUUAAUUGAAUCCAAGAGACAUCCAACUGAUUGGUUGGUACGUUAUCCUUUGAUUUUUCAACAUUAUACUUUGCAUUUUCUCUCCUUAUUUUCAACAACUUUCUCCCGCAACGUCAGUAAGCUUCUCAGUGAGGUCCUUGAAGAACAUAGACAAGAAACCGAUAACUCGUUGUCUUAUGAGACUGAUGUUCGUCUCAAGGAUCCUGUGUUACGGUUGCAUUGGAGCCAAUAGCUUCUCUGCAGAAGAAGAUGCUUGAGCUUCAACAUGAUAUAGCCAGUUGCUCGCUCUCGACCACUUGGCCAUUCUGGAGUUAACAACAACAAAGCUGCAGUCUACUUUGAUGCCGUUCUCUGAGUUUGAUCACGAGGAGAAGAGAAGCCUCAUGCAACGUUGCUUGUAGCAGCUUUUUUGAUAAUCUUGAGAGCCUAAUAUAGAUGUUUUAUGUAUCCAAUGUUAUAUCCUUUGCUUUUCGUGAAAGCUAUGAAUUGAAGCAUGUAAUUUCCAUGUCGUGGAUUCUUCACUAUGGUUUUUUUUUUCCAUAUAUGCUAUGGUUUUUGUUUAGCGUACGAAACAAGGAAACGAAGAGUGCGAGGAGACCUUCUUCGCGCCUAUUUCUCACGAAGAACUCUCGUGUCUCUACAACCUCUUCUUCACCCUCUCCCGUAAGCUCCUCACUUCAUUCCCUCUCUCCCUCAUCAUGCCUAAAUCCAACGACGGUGACGCCGUCGCAGAAUCCGAGUCGACGACAAGUGGGUCCAAGGGUGUGAAAACGACGCCGGAUUUGCGAUUUGGCAUUGGUAUUUGAUGGAUGUGUUCGUUUACUUCUCUCACUCUCUGGUGUCUCUUCCUCCUCCUUGCUGGACCAAUACAGCUCACAGGCAUGGCGUUAAGGUAAAGAAUGCAUUCUUGUGGAUACAUUAGUUGAUUUGGAUGUGGUUUCAUUAGAUUAUUGGAUUGAUACUUUCUUGUGUGUGUGUGUUAUGGAAACGUUAAUAGGUGUUGGGGACUUUCAUUACGGAAUGGGAUGAAGGUAAAGCUACCUGCAGUGAGAUGAUUGCCACUAAGGAGUCUGCUCAGAUGUAUGCUGAGCGUUUGGCUGAGCUUUCUAAUUCUCUAGGUUUCGAUGGAUGGCUGGUGAGUUUUGUCUUUGUCAUCUUAUUAUUGUUCAUGCUUGUUCUCUCCAGGUGGUGGUCACUUGUUGAGAAGUCAUGGGGAAUAGUCCAAACAUAUCCACAAGUCUUGCCUUUUUACUCUGACUUCAAUCAGGUAAAGUAUACAUCGACUGUCUUGGCUAUGAUUUAUGUUAAGUUAUCUUUUCUCGUUAAUCCAGGGCUUUGGUUACCAUGUUUCACUCGAGGGUCGCCAGUUAUCUGAUGCUCCAUGGUACAACAUUUCUUGCCAAAGUCUUCAGUUUCAACCAUCUUAUCGUCUUUGCUUUAACUGCACAUAUAAUAUUUUGUCUCUUCUCUCAUCUGAUGGGUGCCUUUGUUGUGUUAUUAAUGUUAGCCAAUCCUAGAGUUCAAGGAAGACAACACUGAUAUCAUUCAGCUCACUAUUGAGUGAGUUCUGACCCUGAUACUAAAAAAUGUUUUUGACUUCUUGUUGAUUUAGAUGCAUUUGUUUGCAAACGUAUAACGGUAAGCACAUGAAUUUGUUUAGUGCUCGAGAGGCAUCUUAUAACGGAGGAGGGAACAUUGUAUUUAAAGGAAGACUCGAAGGAGAUGUGUAUUUCACAGCAAGGCUCUUUAAACCUCUCCUUCACCUUUCUUCUUCCCCCAUCACAGUCUCCUACUCUGUAAGUCUUUGUUUUUAGAUACAUCACAUUACGAGAUCUUCUUGUUUUCUUUCUACUAAUGGAAAAUCUUGGAUUUGGUGCAGGUGAAAUCAGAUGAGACUUCUAAACUUGGACUCCUGCUUGGGUUUUCAUCACCAUCGCACCAAACUAAAUCCAUACUUGUGGCGCCACAAGAAACAACCCUAAGAUUAGAUCACAUGUUCUUGAAAUGCCUCGUCGCAUCAAAGCAGACUGUAUCCGAGUGGACGGUACACGAGACAAGCCUUGCCAUGGAUGGCUACACACUGACUGAAAUCUCUGCCUUUUGCUACAGAACAGAGAACUCGACGAAGACAUCAGAGUACGUUGCAUUGCUCGGUCACAUCUCAAUCAAAGAUCAUCAUGUUCAGCUACUCCAGCAAAACCUCGUUUCCUUACCUCCAGCGUCAUCAUGGGUCAUCGAGGCUCAUAGCAUAGAGCUUGUACCGGGUGAUUCCGGUUCUAAGAUCCUUAAGGUUAAGCUAGAAUGGAGACAGACACAGCUUGAAGACUCUGUUCUCCCAGUGUACAAUGUGUAUGCAGAGAGUGUGAAGUCAACUGAUGUACUAAGAUCGAGGAAGGUUUUGGAGAAACCAAGAAGCGAGAGAGUGUUCCUAGGAGUGUCUCACGUACCAGCCUAUUACGUUUCGGAGCUGGUGGUAGAUUCUGACGUGAAAGGAGUCAGCUUCGUGGUUCAACCGUGUGGUGAAGAUGGUUCAUGGAGUAAGCUGGAUGAUUCCCCUAACCUUCUUGUGGACUUGGAAGGUCUCUCGUAGGUUGCUUGAAACUAUAUAUGAAACGAUUAAUAAUGUAUAUUACAAAAUGACAUUAAUCUUGAAAAUGGGGGAAAACAUAAUAAAAAAAUCUGAACGAGCCUCUUCCGCAUGGAAGUUUUGGUUUCUCAUCACUAGUUGUCUCUUCUCUGUAUAUUUUAUCUAAUGAAAGUGAGAUGAUUAUCACCAAAACUUGUUAUUAUUGACGUGAGAAAGAAAAAAAUGCGGAAACUGAUUGGGUCAUCAACAUUUAUUUAUUUGUUUUUGGUUACUACAGCCAUAUAUUGAAAAAACAAGAAAGAGAUCGAGUAAAAUCUUGGUUUCUUCCUGACGAUCUCGCCCUGAGGAAUAUUAGUUGAAGAAUGUACUCACUAUGAUAUGGGCCAUAUGGCUCGAUCGCCAGUACAUUCACGACGAAGAGUUGAUUCUUCUGUCACGAAGAAUGUUCUCAUGCAGAUUGAUAUUUUUGUUCUUUUUGAUUGAUUUUUAGUAAAGAGUUUAUUCUUUUUGUCAUUUUGCAUAUAUUUCUCAUUUUGGAAGUCACGAGGAAUAAACUAAAAAUAAAAAUAAGACCGUUCGCCGUUGAUUUUUCUUGAAAAGGUUGAUGUUUGUUUUCUUCUUAUUAAUAUAGGAGAUUCAUGAUUCUUAUUUUGAAAUUCUAUCAAAAUUAAGCUAGUUUAGUAGUUAAAUUAGUUCUUUUUUUAAAGCAAGGAAUGUCAUAAAAUUUGAAUUUUUAAAUAGAAUAAGUAAAAAAGAUAAAACUUGUACUAUCAAAUCGAAAGACUACAGUAUAUGCAAAUAUGCAUGGGUCUCGUAAUCGUAAACGUUAGUACUUUUGGGUCAAUAUGCAUGGGUCGUUAGUAUACGUUAGUUUAAAUCCAAAUAUAAACCUAAGCAAAAUAAUACUUUAUAAAUUACGUCUUCUUUGGUUUAGAAAAUUCUUUUUUUUUUUUUUUGAAAAUUCAUGUAAUUAGGGUAGGGGACCAAUAUGUGUAGAAAAUUGACUAUCCGACACAAAGAUUUUGCUUUCGACGUGACGAAUAAUGUAUUUUUCUCUGUGGAUUUUGUUUUGUGUGGAGUAAAUACAGAGUCUGUUAUUGUGUAUAUAAAGAAAUGGCCAUGGAAGCAUGUAACUCAUCACCAAUUUCCCUUUUCUUUUUGCUCUUUCAGUUUUUGAUAUUCAAGAAAGUUAAAUAAGCUUAAAGAAGAAUGAAAGGCUUUUGGAACUUAACGAGUACCAUUUCUCUUACUCUUUCUAUACUUUUUUUAUUCGGCUACAGUUAUGAAGACGUGGCUGCGGUUCCAACUAAGCACUUGUGUCGUCCAGAUCAAAGGGAUGCACUUCUUCAGUUCAAGAACGAGUUUGAGGUUUUAAACUCUUCCUUAAAUUAUUAUUGUAUUAUCAAUAUAACUAUAGUAAAGCGCCUUCGGAAGACAGAGUCGUGGAUGAAUAACAGCGACUGCUGUAAUUGGGAGGGUAUCACGUGCAACCCCAAUUCCGGUGAAGUGAUCGAGCUAAACCUUAGUUGCAGCAACCUACGUGGCAAGUUUCAUUCUAAAAGCAGUCUUCGAAACCUUCAUUCUCUAACGACUCUACUCCUUUCAAAUAAUGAAUUUAGUGGUCCAAUCAUGUCUUUAAUUGGAAACCUUUCUCAUCUCACGUCUCAGGACCUUUCGCGAAAUGGUUUGAGCGAGUUCAUUCCUUCUUCGAUAGUAGACCUUUCUUAUCUCACCUUUCUCGAUCUUUCAUCUAAUAGUUUUUCUGGUCCGAUUUCGUCUUUGAUUGGAAACCUUUCUUAUCUCACCUUUCUCGAUCUUUCAUCUAAUAGUUUUUCUGGUCCGAUUCCAUCUUCAAUUGGAAAUCUUUCUCAUCUCACCUAUCUUAACCUUAAAGAUAGUGAAAUUUCGGGUACGAUUCCAUCUUCUAUUGGAAAUCUUUAUAACCUCACUUAUCUUGACCUUUCUUACAACAAUAUUGUUGGAGAAAUCCCAUCUUCUUUUGGCAAUCUAAACCAGUUGACCAGCUUAUCUGUUGGUCUCAAUAGGCUAAAUGGACGCUUUCCCAUUGCAAUACUAAAUUUGACAAAGUUGUCAUCUUUAGGACUCUAUGACAAUCAGUUCACAGGAACAAUUCCUCAUAACAUCACUUCACUAUCCAAAUUGACGACCUUUGAUGGAAGUAACAACGCUUUCACUGGGACCCUGCCUUCUUCUUUCUUCACCAUUCCUUCUAUGUAUAGUGUUGAUUUGUCUGAUAAUCAAUUCAACGGUAUUCUUGACCUUGGGAAUAUAUCUUCACCACCUCAGCUAGGACUGUUAUACGUUGGCAAUAACAACUUGAGAGGGCCAAUCCCAGCCACGAUAUCAAAAUUUACCAACCUUGUCGAACUUGAGCUUUCCCAUUACAAGACACAAGGUCCAGUUGACUUUAGUAUCUUCUCGCAUCUCAAGUUGCUCCAAGAUCUUGACCUAUCCUAUUUGAACACAACCACUGCCAUUGACUUGAAUGAUUUCUUGUCAUAUUUUAAGCGCCUCGGUGUGUUGGUUCUCUCAGGCAACCAUGUUACAGCCACAAACAAGAGUCCAGUUCCCGUUUCCCCUUUGUUGCAUCAGUUGCACUUGUCGGGCUGCGGUAUCACCAAGCUUCCGGAGUUUGUAAGAUUGAAAAAUUUGGAGAGUCUAGACAUUUCCAACAAUAAAAUCAAAGGGCAAGUGCCUGGCUGGUUAUGGACACUACCAAAGCUGAGUUACCUGGAUCUUUCUAACAACACUUUCACUGGCUUCAAAAGCUCAACGAAACAUGGACUAUCUUUAAAAUAUUUGUUAGCCUCUGACAACAAUUUCACAGGAGAGAUUCCCUCAUUCAUAUGCGAUCUGCGUGGUUUAUUCAUUCUUGAUUUAUCAAACAACAACUUCAGUGGUGUAAUCCCUCCUUGUAUGGAAAAUCUCUAUCUGGCAGUUCUAAAUAACAGCGACUGCUGUAAUUGGGAGGGUAUCACGUGCAACCCCAAUUCCGGUGAAGUGAUCGAGCUAAACCUUAGUUGCAGCAACCUACGUGGCAAGUUUCAUUCUAAAAGCAGUCUUCGAAACCUUCAUUCUCUAACGACUCUACUCCUUUCAAAUAAUGAAUUUAGUGGUCCAAUCAUGUCUUUAAUUGGAAACCUUUCUCAUCUCACCUCUCUGGACCUUUCGCGAAAUGGUUUCAGCGAGUUCAUUCCUUCUUCGAUAGUAGACCUUUCUUAUCUCACCUUUCUCGAUCUUUCAUCUAAUAGUUUUUCUGGUCCGAUUUCGUCUUUGAUUGGAAACCUUUCUUAUCUCACCUUUCUCGAUCUUUCAUCUAAUAGUUUUUCUGGUCCGAUUCCAUCUUCAAUUGGAAAUCUUUCUCAUCUCACCUAUCUUAACCUUAAAGAUAGUGAAAUUUCGGGUACGAUUCCAUCUUCUAUUGGAAAUCUUUAUAACCUCACUUAUCUUGACCUUUCUUACAACAAUAUUGUUGGAGAAAUCCCAUCUUCUUUUGGCAAUCUAAACCAGUUGACCAGCUUAUCUGUUGGUCUCAAUAGGCUAAAUGGACGCUUUCCCAUUGCAAUACUAAAUUUGACAAAGUUGUCAUCUUUAGGACUCUAUGACAAUCAGUUCACAGGAACAAUUCCUCAUAACAUCACUUCACUAUCCAAAUUGACGACCUUUGAUGGAAGUAACAACGCUUUCACUGGGACCCUGCCUUCUUCUUUCUUCACCAUUCCUUCUAUGUAUAGUGUUGAUUUGUCUGAUAAUCAAUUCAACGGUAUUCUUGACCUUGGGAAUAUAUCUUCACCACCUCAGCUAGGACUGUUAUACGUUGGCAAUAACAACUUGAGAGGGCCAAUCCCAGCCACGAUAUCAAAAUUUACCAACCUUGUCGAACUUGAGCUUUCCCAUUACAAGACACAAGGUCCAGUUGACUUUAGUAUCUUCUCGCAUCUCAAGUUGCUCCAAGAUCUUGACCUAUCCUAUUUGAACACAACCACUGCCAUUGACUUGAAUGAUUUCUUGUCAUAUUUUAAGCGCCUCGGUGUGUUGGUUCUCUCAGGCAACCAUGUUACAGCCACAAACAAGAGUCCAGUUCCCGUUUCCCCUUUGUUGCAUCAGUUGCACUUGUCGGGCUGCGGUAUCACCAAGCUUCCGGAGUUUGUAAGAUUGAAAAAUUUGGAGAGUCUAGACAUUUCCAACAAUAAAAUCAAAGGGCAAGUGCCUGGCUGGUUAUGGACACUACCAAAGCUGAGUUACCUGGAUCUUUCUAACAACACUUUCACUGGCUUCAAAAGCUCAACGAAACAUGGACUAUCUUUAAAAUAUUUGUUAGCCUCUGACAACAAUUUCACAGGAGAGAUUCCCUCAUUCAUAUGCGAUCUGCGUGGUUUAUUCAUUCUUGAUUUAUCAAACAACAACUUCAGUGGUGUAAUCCCUCCUUGUAUGGAAAAUCUCUAUCUGGCAGUUCUAAACCUUCGUCAAAAUCGUCUCCAUGGAGGUCUUCCAGAGAAUAUAUGUGAAUUCUCAACAAUGCUUGAUGUCGGUCAUAACAAACUGACAGGGAAGCUUCCAAAAUCUUUGAUCAAUUCCUCUAGUCUUGAAGUUCUGAACGUGGAAAGCAACAUUAUCAAUGAUACGUUUCCAUUUUGGUUGAGUUCUCUACCACAACUAAAAAUUCUUGUAUUACGCUCUAAUGCCUUCCAUGGACCGGUACAUCAUACUUCGUUCCCUAAAUUGCAAAUCGUCGACAUAUCGCACAAUCACUUCAAUGGAUCUUUGCCAUCAGACUACUUUGUGAAGUGGAGUGCUAUGUUAUCAUUGGGGAAGAAUUAUAAUCAGUGGGAUGACAAGUACAUGGGGGAAUCCUAUUACCAUGAUUCAAUGGUGUUGAUGAACAAAGGUUUAGAGAUGGAGCUAGUACGUAUCCUUAAAAUCUACACAGCACUCGACUUUUCAGGAAACAAAUUUGAAGGAGAGAUCCCAAGGUCCAUCGGUCUAUUAAAAGAGCUUCAUGUGCUCAACUUGUCGAACAAUGCUUUCACUGGCCACAUCCCUUCAUCUAUGGGAAACCUGACAGCUCUUGAGUCACUGGACGUUUCCCAAAACCAGCUUUCAGGAGAAAUUCCGCAAGAGCUAGGGAGCCUCUCAUUCCUUUCGUACAUGAACUUCUCUCAUAACCAGCUUACAGGUCUAGUACCCGGAGGCACUCAGUUUCGAAGGCUGAACUGCUCUUCAUUUGAAGAUAACAAGGGACUUUUAGGCCUAAAGGGGUCUUGUUUUCUCCAUGUCCACACUCUCUUGUUUCUAAUUCAACCUUUGAUUGUUUGAUUAAAUAUGUAUAAUCUAAAUUAACAAUAAUUAAAUAUAUAUAUACUCAACUAAAAUUUGGGUUUAACGAUCAUUAUCCAUUUUAUAAGAAAAUUCCUCUUGGAUCUUUCUUUUUAUAUUUUUCUUGACUGACUUUUUAAUCGAAUCCAAGUCUUGCUUCUCUUUGUUUUGAAGUCCACUUUGGUGUCCACGAUCUCAAAAAAGAAACAGCCAACUGAUUGGUCACUUUCACAAUCCCUCUGGUACGUUAUCCUUUGAUUUUUCAACAUUAUACUUAAAGCUCAAUACCAAAAUCUCAAAGAUAAGCCACUACAUGAUCAUGAUGUGUGUGACCUACGAGCUUGGACUCGAACCCACGAGCCAAUCAUGUAAGUAGCAAUGAAAAGAUCAAGCCAACACAAAUGAUGAAUAGGCCCAUGCCUUGCCCCCAUUCUGUUCCCUUCUUAAUUAAUCUACAGAAACAAUCUUCUUCAGAAGAAGAUGCGUGAGCUUCAACACGAUAAAGAUUGAUGCAAAGUCAUAUAAGGAAACAGCCAAAUCAAUAGCUUGGUGGGUUUGUCUUCCAAAAGUAAAUUAUGGAAGAACAUGAAUGUCUCUGAUGUACAUUGUCCUGGAAAGAGAACUCUGAGACCUGAUUACGCAAAAAACUAAUUGCUGAUCACAAAAAAAAAGGAGAAACGAACGCUACUGGAAACUGCAAGCAUUGAUACACAAACGAUAAUACAUUAAACACUUGACAAAAGUACAUGUUGAUAUGUCUGUCAGAUUACUACAAGAGUUUCUUUCACCAAUCUGCUUUGCUACCAAUGUACCCUAAAUAAGAUAAGUAAACACAAAAAAAAAAGCAUUACUCUAACUUGAAACCUAGUGAGUAAGAAUAAUAACAGUUUCUCCAAUCUCCAUGAGCUGAGCUCUCAGAUCCAACCAUUGCUCUACCACAGUAUAGCUUCUCCACAAAUCUAAUCUCUACAACUUCUUCCCUGUACAACAACAACAGCACAAUUCAAGUUUUCAGUAACUCAAUUGAGUAGAUGCUCAAAGUUAUGGUUCCAAAUCAAUAAUCUGAAGCCUCACAAGCUAACAUAAAGUUUCAAUCUUCAAAAUCAUAUAAAAAUGAAACAUUUACCAUAUAUUCACAAUUUGCAUAUUACCAGAGACAAAAAAAGUUUAUAUAUCUUUACCUGAAGCAGCAACAGCUCUACGUUUGCCAAGCUUGGAUCUUUCAAGCUCCAUCUGCAUAUCCAUCAACAUGUUCAUCCGUUGCAACUCAAGCUCCUUAGCAGCUUCCAUCCUCUGCUUCUCCAACUCAACCAUCAUCCUCUGCUUCGCACCUUCCAUCCUCUCGUACACCUCCCCCAACUUCAAAAUCGCUCUCGCCAGCUCCCUACACGACGACCCUUCCCCUCCACUCGGAUCCACCUCCUCAACUCUCCUAUGCUUCCUCACCACAAACCCCCAAUCUCCCACCUCAUCAUCAUCAUCGUCCAGAGAGCUUCCACUCGAUUUAGAUCCGGUUUGAUUCAAAGUAUGAUUCUUUAACGCCGGUGUCACAACUCCGGUAGAUUUCUUCGCCGCGACGGGACCGAUCAAGAAAUUGAGCCUCUCGAAGAAGCACCAAGAGGACGGAGACGGUCCAUCGGUCUAUUAAAAGAGCUUCAUGUGCUCAACUUGUCGAACAAUGCUUUCACUGGCCACAUCCCUUCAUCUAUGGGAAACCUGACAGCUCUUGAGUCACUGGACGUUUCCCAAAACCAGCUUUCAGGAGAAAUUCCGCAAGAGCUAGGGAGCCUCUCAUUCCUUUCGUACAUGAACUUCUCUCAUAACCAGCUUACAGGUCUAGUACCCGGAGGCACUCAGUUUCGAAGGCUGAACUGCUCUUCAUUUGAAGAUAACAAGGGACUUUUUGGCCCUUCUCUUGAAGAAAUUUGCAGAGAUAUUCACACGCCAACACCGCAUGAAACGUUGGAGUCAGAGGAAGAAGAAGAAGAGGAAGAGGUGUUGAGUUGGAUAGCAGCUGUAAUAGGAGUCAUACCUGGUUUUGCCUUUGGAUGGGUCAUUGGAUACAUACUUUUUUCCUGCAAACCAGAGUGGUUCUUCAUGAACCCUUUUGUCCGAAACAAACGCACACGCAACCGCACCACAACUCAUUAAAGAGGU